AAUUUAUGUGUAAAGGGAAAGGGUCAGUACAGUGUCUACUGCAUUAAAUAGUCAUUAUAUUCUGUUUUUACAGUGUUGUUCAUUUACUUCACAUGUAUAUCUACUGUCCAGACUACUGACUGUCUGCACUUGAGGGAACAAUGUAUUAAUGCUGGAAAAGGAUGUGAGAGUGUCUGGAAUGUGGUUGAAGAUGCCUGCAAUAUUUCAGGUAAUAGAUGCAAGGCAGAAGACACUGUUGGAUGUAAUAGGAUAAUCCAGGUCCUGGCUGAUGAAUACCCAGAAUUUAAAAGCUGUGUCUGCACUACAGACAACAUCUGUAGCAUCACAACUUUGCUUGGGAAACAGUGCGGCAUUAAUAAAGAGGACUCGGAGUCCCUCUCGAGCUCGGAGGCUGAGCUGGGUGCUGGGCAGCGCAGAGACCCCGGGGACCCGAGGCGCGCGGAGGGGCCGGAGCGCGACUGCGGCGAGGCCCGGCGGCGCUGCCGGGAGCGGCCGCGCUGCUCGGCCGCCCUGGGCA
RNAcentral lists this long non-coding RNA (517 nucleotides) under Ficedula albicollis (Collared flycatcher). RNAcentral's name for it is "lncRNA (ENSFALG00000028050.1)". Lineage: Eukaryota; Metazoa; Chordata; Aves; Passeriformes; Muscicapidae. The record is from RNAcentral.